AUGGUUGCACAUGCAAAGAGAGUAAUGGGUAUUUGUAUUGUUGUCUGGUUGGAUGAAAAUGAAGAUAAAUGUCAAGUAUUUAACGAUUGAUGUUGUUAUAGAUCAGCUCCUCCUUCAUAAAAAGGUAGAAUUGAUUAAUGGGAAGUUUGCAGUAUGUUUAUCAAUAUCAAUGGUUUAUGGAUGAUAUUUUGAUGGGGCAGCAAGUGAUUGCAGAUUCAUUCCACAACCACAGGCACCACUUGAUGGAGGCUCUGUAAGUCAAUGGCCGAUACUUUGUGAAAGAAAAGGUGAUUAGAGAAUUGAUGAUUUUGCUCCAAGUGAUUGCAAAUUCGUCGGAUCUGAUAGGAAUUUGGCGAAAAGGGUGAAUGUGAAUCACUGAUGUUGGGAAGAAAAUGAUUUUGGGUAUAAAUUGAUGUUUCUUGAAAAAUAUUGAUGGUUGAAUGUGGUCCAUCGGGUCGGAUCCAAUAAAGACCUUAUUCGAACAGUUCAUCUUCUUUACCCGUUUCUCUGCUGCUGUAAUAUGUUUAAAUCCGAAUCAUCUGCUCGAUCUGAUGAAUUUUCUCAGACAUAAAUACAAAGAGUCAUCAUAUAGAAGGCCUCCCUUUGGUCGGCCAAUAAUCGGUAAUCAACACCUCAAUCGGUAGUAAAUAUAGACUUAGUAGUUACCGAUUAAUGUGUGUAUGCCUUUUUAUAAUCGGUAGAAGAAGAACGUCAACUUGUUGAAGAUCAAUCUUCCCUACCGUUUAGAGAAGACGAUUUGGGUUAUAUGUUGAAUGAUCCAAACUUUCAUGAAGAUGAAACCCUAGACGACGCUUUAUGGAAGAAAACGGAGAAUCACCCGAGAUCGAAGCUAACGAUACAUCAAAUGUAUCCAUAAUCGGAUGCUAUGUAGGUUAAGCAACCUACCGAUUAUUAUAUUCGGUAGUUAAUGUAUUUAAUUUAUAUUCCGAUUACGGGUUUCCCAAAAAUGUGAUUUUUCUUAAAUCCUUUGUUUGAUGAAUUUUGA
Long non-coding RNA from Papaver somniferum (opium poppy), 1006 nucleotides. RefSeq lists it as uncharacterized. The transcript has 3 exons. NCBI's taxonomy places the organism in Eukaryota, Viridiplantae, Streptophyta, Magnoliopsida, Ranunculales, Papaveraceae. The record is from RefSeq and is a predicted model, not a curated record.